UACGUAGGGUGCAAGCGUUGUCCGGAAUUAUUGGGCGUAAAGAGCUCGUAGGCGGCUUGUCGCGUCGGCUGUGAAAACCUGGGGCUCAACCCCGGGCCUGCAGCCGAUACGGGCAGACUAGAAUUCGGUAGGGGAGACUGGAAUUCCUGGUGUAGCGGUGAAAUGCGCAGAUAUCAGGAGGAACACCGGUGGCGAAGGCGGGUCUCUGGGCCGAUAUUGACGCUGAGGAGCGAAAGCGUGGGGAGCGAACAGG
This 253-nucleotide ribosomal RNA is filed under the name uncultured bacterium. RNAcentral's name for it is "partial 16S ribosomal RNA". It matches the Rfam family "Bacterial small subunit ribosomal RNA", at positions 524 to 776 of the family's 1533-position model. The record is from RNAcentral.